RNAcentral lists this long non-coding RNA (3896 nucleotides) under Gallus gallus (chicken). Its description in RNAcentral is "lncRNA (ENSGALG00010006419.1)". The record is from RNAcentral. Lineage: Eukaryota; Metazoa; Chordata; Aves; Galliformes; Phasianidae.
AGCAGGAAGAAGGGAUCUGGGUAAGGAUGUGCCCAGCUCCACCCCCAGAGCCGCAGUGCAGGCAGGACAGCUCGGGUCACGCUCUUUUCUCUCCCUGAAAGUUUUAAGUGAAAUUAGAUAAAUAGAGGAAGAAUGGAGGGCAAAGGCAAGGGGAGUGAUGGAGGCAGCUUCCUCCGUGAAGGCCCAGCCCAGUGCAAUUAGCACAGCCAUUUGGGACCCGCUGUAACGUUUCUCUGUAAAUGCACGCUGCCGUAUCCCCGAGCUUCCUCUUUGAACAGCAACGCGUGCGGCUCCCGGCAGCGCCGGGUUUGGGGCUUUGGCUUUUUUGACGUUGGUGAUUCUGAAACCCAAUUUCUGGCUUUAUAAAAAUGCAUCACUACAGCAACCAAAAAAUUAAUUGCUUUGCAACAACGUGAUUAAAGCCGCGCCGAGGAACCGAGAAUAUAUCCAUGAGAAGCACACUGCAUAGCGUUCAAAUAAAAACGUUGUACUCUGAGAGCGUUUAACACCAGCUUGAAACUUUGCUAUGGUCCAAAUUCAGUCAAACCAAAUACACCGAACCGUUUCCUAAAGGAUUUGUUGUAUUUUUUGUGGCUUUUCUGAUCAGUUCUUUCUAUAAAGAGAGUGUAAAUGAAAGGAAAGAAACUCCACGACUCCCAGCUUAUGGUGCUGCGUAAUAUUUGAUGGGGAAAUUUAGAUAACCUCUGGAUAGUUCUGUAAAACAGUCGUUUAAGGGAGAGCUUUGAAAUGCAAAAUAGGAAAAAGCAAUGCAUUACCACUAAAUAAAUACUGCAGCCGCUAAGCCCGUAACAGCUACGGAAUCAGAACGUAAAAUCUUGUAGCAUAUGUGUUCUUAUGAUUGUAGUAUUUAAUAAGCGCUGACACGACACAGAAGGCCAAUUUUCUGUUUGAAAAAAGAAGCCUGUCCUUCUUAUAGUGAUAUAUAAGAGAUUAAAAUAAUUAGAGAGGAAUAUAAUUCAGGGGGUAAGACUGAAUAAUUUCAUUGUUAAUCUCAACACGAGGAGAAAAGCCAAUUCUCUUAAAAGAAACCUACAGGGUCUAACAGCUAGGCGAGUUUGGGUAUGACAAACAUACAACAGGGUGAUACGUACCCACAUUUUUUUAGCUGUUUUUUGAGUAGAAUGAAUGCACGAGUGAAUGAAAAUUACCCUUCCCACGUGUGAAGCGUUUCAAAAGUUUAAGGGAUCCCUCACGGAAAUGUUACCAUGCAGCACUGCGUGGCACGUCAGCUUCAUUAGCAAAAAUAAAGAGGUAUUCACCUUAAAUUUUUACUAGCCAUUAAUCACUUCCAACAACAAUGCUGGGAUCUGCAUACUCGCUUUAAAUUUCACUGCUUUUUCUCUACAAAGUAUACAAUCAUUGUAACUUCGGUGAAUAAAACAAAGCAUUGAACAAGCAGAAGUCUUUCCUUUACAGAGGCACGUUAUUGGGUGGAUGGAAGCAUCACAGGAGUCCUCCACGAAUAACAGAAAAAGCAGAGUUUUACAUAAAAUGGGUGCUGUAUUAGAAAGCAUCGACUGACAUCGGAGCUGGAACUGCCGAGUGGGAAAACUCACUUUACAGCUGAUUCUUUACAGCAAAUUUCUCGUCGCCAUUUUUAGUCCAUUUUCAACUUGCGACUCUGUUGGGAAAGCUUUGAUCUUUACCUCUGUACAAAAGGACACACACUACAGUGAGCGGAUGCAACCGAGACCAGGAAAAUUGCAGUAACUCGGAGGUUCUCAAUACAUACAAUAAUACUUCCCCCAUUUAUCUCUUUAAAAUAGAUUGAUGCUCGUCUGCCUUUUGUUUCUGCGGGUUUAAAUCAUUAACGGUCUUCGUGGAAAUACAUCCUAAUCGUGGCUACUCGCUUCAUUUCUGGGAAGGCAGCAGCAAAAUGGUCACUCUACACAAAGCAGAAUGCGACUCCCGCGUGCUGACCUUUGCACGUAGCGUGUUCUAAAUGGCAGCCCGCCUUGGACCCAACAAAUUAUUUCUGCCCGUGUUCAGUUAGGAUGGAUACGGCGUGUCCACAACCCAUGGUGAAGCACUAACGCAUCUUUACGUGCUUAUUCCUAAAUUAUACCAAGAAAGUAAAGUUUUCUUUUCCCUUCUAUUCUUUAAUAUAAUGGUCACAUCUGUGUUUAACACCUACCCAAAUGCAAGUUGCUGAAUGAUUAGAACCUUCUAACGCUUCAGAUGCGGUGAGUUCGUGCCGGGCAGCUUGCACGUUGCACACGUAACACGGGUACAGGUAGCAGCACCAGGGGUCACGCUGGCGCAUCUCCUGGACACCGCGCCCCUCCACACCUCGUGCUAUUUUCCUUCGUGUGAACGGAAUGCCUAAUUUUGUAAUUCCUCAGAGUGGAAAGGAAGGGGGGGGAGAAUUCCACCAACUCUUGUAUUCAUUUUAUUGGUUUUAAUUGCAUUAUCACCUUUGGAGACUUUGGUAAAUUCCACUUAGCUAGCAGCCAUGGGUAGCGGUGGUGGUUUUCAAGUACAGCUCCUGUUACUCAUGUUGGCAUUUAAAUGUUAAUUUCCAACCGAGGUUUACAGUAAACACCAAACAAGGGAUUUUCUUUGAAUGAACCAUCUCAGACCAAAAUUCUAAAGGAAAGGAUCCUACCCGGGAUAUUUUUAAGCGCGGUGAUUAUUUCCUUGUGAAAGACUUAACAUUCCCUAAGUGAUAGAAGCUAAAAGAUUUACAUGUGACAGUUAAUUUAUAAUUCUCUACAUUAAAAAGACAUUUAAACGUUAACCACAUUUUUAUGUGAGUCAAGUCAAAGCAAUGAUAAUUACAGUAUGAUACAAAAGAACCUGAAAUAAACUUCCAGCAAACCAUAUUGAAUAUUAACGUCGUGUUAAGCCCCGAAAAGCUGCGUUAGUAAACUCUGGAAUUUAGAUUAUAUGCAACUUCAACAUAACAUCGGGCUUUUCUUUAAAGCACACAUCACUGCAAAGGUUGGAUCCGGGGGAGGUACGUAUUAAUUGGCCGGAUUUUUAUUAAAUACAUUUACAUAGCAUCAUGCCAAAACCAAGCCUCGGAUUACUCUUUCUGCACAGGCAUACCUCAGCGUGGGAUUUGCCAAAUUAACAUUCCAUAUAAAUUAACAGCCUUUUCUCAUGUUUGUGGUGUUACGAUGAGCAGCGUGAUACUGUAUCGUGUCGCUGCUCACGUGUAUUUGAUUUCAAUUUAGGAAUCGUAUCUCUGCUACCCACCACAUAGGAGAAACGACGUGCUGAAUUUCCCAUCAAAUAUCUUAAAUACAGACCUAUUUUAGGUGGAUUUGUAUAAACAAAACACAUAUCUCAUAUGGGCGUGGGAAAGGAAAAGCUGGUUUGGUAUAUGCUAGAGCAAACUGGAGUAAAUCAACCGCAUCCAUGGGCUGUAUCAGCAGUACCGCUCUGCUUUUCCCAGUACCAUUUGGACACAACAAUGUUACUUUUUUAUUUAAAGUGUUUUCUUCUCAACAAGGGGCCACCACUUCCCAAUCGCAAAAACACGCCCCAGAAUAUGUUAAUUAAUUGUAUUGUGCCUCUGAAAGAAAAGAGGUUGCCAAAUGCAAUAAAAAAAAAAAAAGAGAGAGAGAGAGAGAGAGGUCUUUCGAUCAGAGGGCUCCGUUCCCACUGGUUACCAUCUAAUUUCAAUUCCCCACAUACGGACGUGGAAGAAAUAUAUCUGUGUAGAUUGUGACCGUGAGGAACUGCCUGAGAGCCAAAGGCCGGCGCGGCCACGCUGGGAUCUGGGCAGCCUCACGUUGCUGGAGGACGGAGGGCGCGAGCCUCGGCCCGCGGUUUGUCACCCUUACGUGGGCACUGCAGAGUGGGAACGUGGGGCAUUUUCAUCCCAUGUUGCUUCCCAUUACGUGUAACAACGGGGCUGCUUCCCACCCCCC